GAGUCGGACCUGCCCAGUGAAUUAAUUUUUUAACGGCCGCGGUACUCUGACCGUGCAAAGGUAGCAUAAUCAUUUGCCCUAUAAUUGAGGGCUAGUAUGAAUGGUUUGACGUGAGCAAGACUGUCUCUACGUAAAUUUAUAGAACUUGAUUUUUAGGUGAAGAAACCUAAAUUUUAUUGAUAGACAAGAAGACCCUAUUGAGCUUUAAAAGAGUAGGUAGAAAAUAAUAUAUAAAUUUAAAUAUUAAUCUAUUUUAAAUUUUGGUUGGGGCGACUAAGGAACAAACAAAGCUUCUUUAAUACCUAUAUACUGGCAAGUUUUGAUCCAGAAGUUCUGAUUAAUGGAAAUAGUUACCAUAGGGAUAACAGCAUAAUUUUCUUUGAGAGUCCUUAUCGAAAAGAAAGUUUGUGACCUCGAUGUUGGACUAGAAUAUCCUGAAGAUGCAGCAGUCUUUAAGGGUUGGUC
This 465-nucleotide ribosomal RNA is filed under the name Monetaria caputdraconis. Its description in RNAcentral is "partial 16S large subunit ribosomal RNA". It matches the Rfam family "Bacterial large subunit ribosomal RNA", at positions 1850 to 2577 of the family's 2925-position model. The record is from RNAcentral. Lineage: Eukaryota; Metazoa; Mollusca; Gastropoda; Littorinimorpha; Cypraeidae.